RNAcentral lists this ribosomal RNA (2924 nucleotides) under Escherichia coli. Its description in RNAcentral is "bacterial LSU rRNA". It matches the Rfam family "Bacterial large subunit ribosomal RNA". The record is from RNAcentral. Lineage: Bacteria; Pseudomonadati; Pseudomonadota; Gammaproteobacteria; Enterobacterales; Enterobacteriaceae.
GGGUUGUGAGGUUAAGCGACUAAGCGUACACGGUGGAUGCCCUGGCAGUCAGAGGCGAUGAAGGACGUGCUAAUCUGCGAUAAGCGUCGGUAAGGUGAUAUGAACCGUUAUAACCGGCGAUUUCCGAAUGGGGAAACCCAGUGUGUUUCGACACACUAUCAUUAACUGAAUCCAUAGGUUAAUGAGGCGAACCGGGGGAACUGAAACAUCUAAGUACCCCGAGGAAAAGAAAUCAACCGAGAUUCCCCCAGUAGCGGCGAGCGAACGGGGAGCAGCCCAGAGCCUGAAUCAGUAUGUGUGUUAGUGGAAGCGUCUGGAAAGGCGCGCGAUACAGGGUGACAGCCCCGUACACAAAAAUGCACAUGCUGUGAGCUCGAUGAGUAGGGCGGGACACGUGGUAUCCUGUCUGAAUAUGGGGGGACCAUCCUCCAAGGCUAAAUACUCCUGACUGACCGAUAGUGAACCAGUACCGUGAGGGAAAGGCGAAAAGAACCCCGGCGAGGGGAGUGAAAAAGAACCUGAAACCGUGUACGUACAAGCAGUGGGAGCACGCUUAGGCGUGUGACUGCGUACCUUUUGUAUAAUGGGUCAGCGACUUAUAUUCUGUAGCAAGGUUAACCGAAUAGGGGAGCCGAAGGGAAACCGAGUCUUAACUGGGCGUUAAGUUGCAGGGUAUAGACCCGAAACCCGGUGAUCUAGCCAUGGGCAGGUUGAAGGUUGGGUAACACUAACUGGAGGACCGAACCGACUAAUGUUGAAAAAUUAGCGGAUGACUUGUGGCUGGGGGUGAAAGGCCAAUCAAACCGGGAGAUAGCUGGUUCUCCCCGAAAGCUAUUUAGGUAGCGCCUCGUGAAUUCAUCUCCGGGGGUAGAGCACUGUUUCGGCAAGGGGGUCAUCCCGACUUACCAACCCGAUGCAAACUGCGAAUACCGGAGAAUGUUAUCACGGGAGACACACGGCGGGUGCUAACGUCCGUCGUGAAGAGGGAAACAACCCAGACCGCCAGCUAAGGUCCCAAAGUCAUGGUUAAGUGGGAAACGAUGUGGGAAGGCCCAGACAGCCAGGAUGUUGGCUUAGAAGCAGCCAUCAUUUAAAGAAAGCGUAAUAGCUCACUGGUCGAGUCGGCCUGCGCGGAAGAUGUAACGGGGCUAAACCAUGCACCGAAGCUGCGGCAGCGACACUAUGUGUUGUUGGGUAGGGGAGCGUUCUGUAAGCCUGUGAAGGUGUACUGUGAGGUAUGCUGGAGGUAUCAGAAGUGCGAAUGCUGACAUAAGUAACGAUAAAGCGGGUGAAAAGCCCGCUCGCCGGAAGACCAAGGGUUCCUGUCCAACGUUAAUCGGGGCAGGGUGAGUCGACCCCUAAGGCGAGGCCGAAAGGCGUAGUCGAUGGGAAACAGGUUAAUAUUCCUGUACUUGGUGUUACUGCGAAGGGGGGACGGAGAAGGCUAUGUUGGCCGGGCGACGGUUGUCCCGGUUUAAGCGUGUAGGCUGGUUUUCCAGGCAAAUCCGGAAAAUCAAGGCUGAGGCGUGAUGACGAGGCACUACGGUGCUGAAGUAACAAAUGCCCUGCUUCCAGGAAAAGCCUCUAAGCAUCAGGUAACAUCAAAUCGUACCCCAAACCGACACAGGUGGUCAGGUAGAGAAUACCAAGGCGCUUGAGAGAACUCGGGUGAAGGAACUAGGCAAAAUGGUGCCGUAACUUCGGGAGAAGGCACGCUGAUAUGUAGGUGAAGUCCCUCGCGGAUGGAGCUGAAAUCAGUCGAAGAUACCAGCUGGCUGCAACUGUUUAUUAAAAACACAGCACUGUGCAAACACGAAAGUGGACGUAUACGGUGUGACGCCUGCCCGGUGCCGGAAGGUUAAUUGAUGGGGUCAGCGCAAGCGAAGCUCUUGAUCGAAGCCCCGGUAAACGGCGGCCGUAACUAUAACGGUCCUAAGGUAGCGAAAUUCCUUGUCGGGUAAGUUCCGACCUGCACGAAUGGCGUAAUGAUGGCCAGGCUGUCUCCACCCGAGACUCAGUGAAAUUGAACUCGCUGUGAAGAUGCAGUGUACCCGCGGCAAGACGGAAAGACCCCGUGAACCUUUACUAUAGCUUGACACUGAACAUUGAGCCUUGAUGUGUAGGAUAGGUGGGAGGCUUUGAAGUGUGGACGCCAGUCUGCAUGGAGCCGACCUUGAAAUACCACCCUUUAAUGUUUGAUGUUCUAACGUUGACCCGUGAUCCGGGUUGCGGACAGUGUCUGGUGGGUAGUUUGACUGGGGCGGUCUCCUCCUAAAGAGUAACGGAGGAGCACGAAGGUUGGCUAAUCCUGGUCGGACAUCAGGAGGUUAGUGCAAUGGCAUAAGCCAGCUUGACUGCGAGCGUGACGGCGCGAGCAGGUGCGAAAGCAGGUCAUAGUGAUCCGGUGGUUCUGAAUGGAAGGGCCAUCGCUCAACGGAUAAAAGGUACUCCGGGGAUAACAGGCUGAUACCGCCCAAGAGUUCAUAUCGACGGCGGUGUUUGGCACCUCGAUGUCGGCUCAUCACAUCCUGGGGCUGAAGUAGGUCCCAAGGGUAUGGCUGUUCGCCAUUUAAAGUGGUACGCGAGCUGGGUUUAGAACGUCGUGAGACAGUUCGGUCCCUAUCUGCCGUGGGCGCUGGAGAACUGAGGGGGGCUGCUCCUAGUACGAGAGGACCGGAGUGGACGCAUCACUGGUGUUCGGGUUGUCAUGCCAAUGGCACUGCCCGGUAGCUAAAUGCGGAAGAGAUAAGUGCUGAAAGCAUCUAAGCACGAAACUUGCCCCGAGAUGAGUUCUCCCUGACCCUUUAAGGGUCCUGAAGGAACGUUGAAGACGACGACGUUGAUAGGCCGGGUGUGUAAGCGCAGCGAUGCGUUGAGCUAACCGGUACUAAUGAACCGUGAGGCUUAACCUUACAACGCCGAAG